This 17-nucleotide unclassified non-coding RNA is filed under the name Mus musculus (house mouse). Its description in RNAcentral is "oocyte_clustered_small_RNA12198". Lineage: Eukaryota; Metazoa; Chordata; Mammalia; Rodentia; Muridae. The record is from RNAcentral.
UCAACAUCUCCUUCAGU